RNAcentral lists this ribosomal RNA (266 nucleotides) under Glaesserella parasuis. RNAcentral's name for it is "partial 23S ribosomal RNA". It matches the Rfam family "Bacterial large subunit ribosomal RNA", at positions 2661 to 2925 of the family's 2925-position model. The record is from RNAcentral. Lineage: Bacteria; Pseudomonadati; Pseudomonadota; Gammaproteobacteria; Pasteurellales; Pasteurellaceae.
AUUGAGAGGGGCUGCUCCUAGUACGAGAGGACCGGAGUGGACGCAUCACUGGUGUACCAGUUGUCUCGCCAGAGGCAUUGCUGGGUAGCUAAAUGCGGAAGAGAUAAGUGCUGAAAGCAUCUAAGCACGAAACUCGCCUUAAGAUGAGUUCUCCCUAGCUAUAAGCUAGUAAGGGUUGUUGGAGACUACGACGUAGAUAGGUCUGGUGUGUAAGCGGUGUGAGCCGUUGAGCUAACAGAUACUAAUUGCCCGAGAGGCUUAACUAU